GUCCAGUGGGCAGGCUGGUUAGAGUUCCUCUAGGGGCCCCCUCCCACCUGGCUGUCUCACUUACAACUUCCCUGUUCUGUAUGAUGUUGUCUAUGAGUUUGUCAUACAUGACUUGUAUUAUUUUGAGGCUCAGAAGUACAUAUUCAGGUUUGUUGUACAGUUCUGCCCCAUGCCACUCCCCACCACCAUGAGAAAACCAAGAGGACAGGCCUCACUAGGAAAAAAAAAAUUAGCCAGUACCUUGACCUUGGACUUCCCAGCCACCAGAACUCUCCCAGACUUCAUCCUGCUUCAGCUCCUGUCAUCCUGUGCUGUGGAAUUCCUAAACCUCUUAGCUUGAGCCCUGCAACGAUCUGAUUUUCACUCCGUUCUAGGAAGGUUCCAUUCUUCAGUGUGGAGCACAUAUAAGUAUGCAUCUAUAUUGGAGAAAUGAAUGCUAAACAAACGAGGACUUCCUGCUCCUUGUUCUUGGGCCUUCAGGUUUGAACUGGACUUAUACCACUGACUCCCUGCUUAGACUAGAACUAUAUCACCAUCUUUCCUGAGCCCCCAGCUUUCAGACAGCAGAUCAUUGGCCUUCCUAGCUUCCACGAUCAAAUUGGAAAAGCAUUGGAAAAUUUGUCCAAAGUCACUCAACAGAUUCAUGAUGGAUCCUGGAUUCACAGCCAGCUUUACUUGGCAAUAAAAUUCAAGUCCUGUUCACAUCACAACACAUUUUUACCGAAAGAAAAAUAUGAUGUGUAGAUGUUUGGAGGCAUCCUAUCUUAAUGAGGCUUUUGUUAGAAAGAGUUUUCUUAAAAUUACAGGGUUGGGGAAAUAAAAAAUGUUUGUUGCUCAGAUUAACAAAAAAAUGGUAUAUAGAAAAUAAAGCUAAGAAAGGAAAGUGCAGACAACCAAGAGACUAGAAUUUUCAAUAAAUGGCAAAAUUGUGGUGUUCUGUGGUUACCUCUUGAAGAUUUGGCCUGAAUCAUGCAACAAUUGCCCCUUACCCUCAGUCCUCAAAUUACAAUAGUGAAAGAGGUUUCUAUAGGUAUUAUAUUUGAAUCUGCUAUAUUUUGUUUAUUACUUGCAAGGACAUAUAGGAGAGCAAAAGUUUUCCCUCUAAUUUCUUAGGUUUAGUAACUGGAACUUGUGAAUUAAACUGGCAAAAUACAGAUUAACAGGAGAAGAGUCAUAGACAUUUUAUUUUAAAUUUCAUAUGCAAUGUAGUUCCAGAGAAAAGAAGUGAAAGCCUGAAGAAGCAAUUAGACUUGAGGAGUUAUAUCUUUAACAAAGGGUGGUGAGUGUAGAGAAGUGACUAGAUUUUUUUUAAGAUGGUUUUAGGCUUCCAAGGGUGAUAAACCAUGGGAAGGAAAAUACAUGAGGGAAACUAAUGGUAUAUAGGAGUUAUUUAGUAAGGUUUGUUUACACAGACUAAUCUCAGUGGUAAGAACGGUUUUUCUCCUUUUUCUGGUCAGGGGAAGGAGAAGGGACACCAUCACAAUGGGAAUUUGUGCUUUGCUGGUAGACAAAUAGGAGCAGAGCAGAGAACUUCUUUCUCUCAAUUGUCUUCAGCUCAGAAUAAUCCUUAUGCCAAACAGGCAUAAUUUGGAAUUACAUAUUUUCAUCCUCUCCACACACAAGCUUCCGUAUAAAGUUCAAAGACAGUAGUAUUUUCUUAUAAUUCACUCUGCCCCAAAUAUUAACUAAGAUGACAUUCUUUUUCCAGCUUGAUUCUGCAACAUUCACUUCCAGAAACUUUAUCACUCUUAAUCCUGGAUUGAAGGAAAAUAUUUGAAUGUGAUAAAGGAUAUAUAUUUUAAAAAGAAAGGAACUAUAAUAAAAGGCAAGAUUCAGAAAUUAUGUUGUAAUCUGUGACUUAGUGCAAUUUAGUCCUUGAAUUUCUUGUGUGCAAUUUAUUGAAGCUAUCUUAUUAUAUGUUAAUUCUGUGUCUUCUUUGCCCUCUCUUUUUGUAAAAAUUUUCUUUUUCUGAAUUUUUUUCCAGAGUCAAUCAUUGAUCUUCUUGAUAACAUUCAUUUCCCUUGGUGAACUAACUUUGGUUCAUCGCUUUAUCAUUCUUCUCCAGGCUGUUUUUGAAGGGUCUGUGAGCUGAGAAUGGUUUUUAAUAGAUAAAUGCUCACAAUCAAUUUGGGGAUAAGAAAUAUUAUUUUGAAUCUCAGUUACAAAAAAUGUUAUCCUUCAUAAAAUAAUUCAUUUUUUUCUCAGUAAUAAAAAUGUAUUUCAAAAAUAUGGUGUCCUUAUUAUAUUUUAAAUUUUGCCAAUAAAAAUAAUAAAAAUUGAUUUUCUCUAAUUAUGUAAGUACCUAGAUGAUUUUUAAAAUUUUGUCUCUUGACUUAUACAAAGCCUAAAAUAUUUAUAACUGCC
This 2364-nucleotide long non-coding RNA is filed under the name Homo sapiens (human). RNAcentral's name for it is "HSALNT0058135". Lineage: Eukaryota; Metazoa; Chordata; Mammalia; Primates; Hominidae. The record is from RNAcentral.